This 1786-nucleotide long non-coding RNA is filed under the name Hordeum vulgare. RNAcentral's name for it is "long non-coding RNA (HVUL_LNC009937)". Lineage: Eukaryota; Viridiplantae; Streptophyta; Magnoliopsida; Poales; Poaceae. The record is from RNAcentral.
UUGAUUCUCCCAUGGGCACAACACCAAGCCUCUGGAGGCCCUCAAGAACACUAUACUAGUUCAUCCACCCACCUCCAAGAGAGGCAAUCCACCAAAGCAGGAGUAGUGUAUUAUGCUUCUCAGUGGCCCGAACCUGGGUAAACUGCCAUGUUUUGUGUCUUCCUCACCAUCGAGUGAGUUCUUUGCCCUGUCCAUCGAGUAGCGAGCUAGGCGAGGUUAGGCCGUGAGAGAUCUUCGUACACGCCCCUGAGUUCGAAUCUUUAGGGUUUUGCAAAGCCGGAAAUCCGACAACAACAACAACCUUUGUUUUAGAACUGUAUAAUAAUAAAUAAAAGAGAAUAUGUGAAAAAAAGAAAAAGGAUAUGCAUACAAGAUGGGCCAGUCCAACCAUCUAUAGGGACGCGUGGUCCAGUACGCGGGUGAGGUUUGCCUGGAACAGCCUAACAAAAUUCGGCCAACGCACCUCACCAAGCAAGGUGCGCACAUACCUACUUAUAUACGCGGCUGAGAGACCAUUUGCAUGAGCCUCUCUCAUUGAAAUAGCAUGUUCUCUAUCCAGCUCCGUGUAUGCCCUGUGGGGCCUACUAGCAGGAGAAAUCAAUAUCCCACGGGCCUGCAUCCUGGUCCAAUAUGGUUGAGUUUCUAGCCAUAUGCAUGCCGUGGGGUGUGAAAUCGCCUGUUAGAGGUGGGCUUUUUCUUUUGUAAAUGGUCCAUGUUUAUGUAUGUACCAUCUCCAAAUCACCCAAUUUUUUUUACUUGUCACAUACAAGUAGUAAACAUGAUUAUCAAGGAAAAUUCAACAAUAAUGAAGUUUACGUUGUCCCCUUAAGGUAAAGUCAGAGGUAUGUACUUGAGCUUCACUGAUCCACUAUAAAUUAUAUAAAAUUCAAAAAAAUGGAAAGCUUUAAUAUUCUGUCUAUGUUUAUGAAAGACAUCAUGUGUACAAAAUUUCACGUGAUUUGGAUGUGGUAUAAAAAACCACCUUGUUAGAAAAACUCGCUUAAGUGAGACCAAAUGGUCCAUACAUUGUUCAAAUGGCCUCAAACCGUUCCCCUUUAGCCAAGUUGACCCACACCAUCCAUCCACCCUUGACCCCACCUCGGUUCGUGAGUUCUCCAACAAGUCCCUCCCUUCAUAUGCCAAGCAUGUCAAAACGACACACGGCUACCCGUCUUGCACACCGAGAUUUGGCAUCAUCCACUAGUGCGAGCAAACAUAUCCAGCUGAGCAUAUUUGCCCAUCGUGGACACUACCGCAUGGUCUAGAUCGAGGUGGCUAGCGGUGCAUGUUGCCUGCCCGGUUGGCUAAGGGUGCAUGAAAUGGUUCAACAUGAAUUGUAUUGCAUCACUUCCAGAUUCCCCUCUCCGAUACCGGACGCCGGAGGCCCGGAGCAGCACAUGCAUGCUACAAAAAUCUGCACGGUCGCUGGCGGAGCUUGGAUAAGACAAAUUUGAGCUAACCUCCAUAAGGUAGGUGCUGAAAUUCAAUAUUUAGGAAUUGUUAACAAAAUAAAAAGUACAAUUCAAUAUGGUAACAAGUGGACUUUUGGAGGGGAAAACAGGUGCACUCGUUCCACCGUGCCUCCCAUGAUUUUUCUUCCAUCUAUUUCGCCACAAUAUUGGAGGAAAAAAUAAGAAUGUGAUUUUGCAUCAAAAAUGACUUGGGGAGAAAUUCUAAACUAACCAUAUUUAUCUACUAGGUGGAGGUUGCCCCGCGUGGGGAGAUUCGAUCUAGCUCUCCUUGAUUUUAGGGUGAGUUCAACGUGAAUGUGAUGGUGAGACUCUCA